Molecule: ribosomal RNA, 433 nt
Filed under: uncultured bacterium
Lineage: Bacteria
Description: partial 16S ribosomal RNA
Rfam family: Bacterial small subunit ribosomal RNA
Source: RNAcentral
AACGAACGCUGGCGGUAUGCCUAAUACAUGCAAGUCGAACGAGAUCUUCGGAUCUAGUGGCGCACGGGUGCGUAACGCGUGGGAAUCUGCCCUUGGGUUCGGAAUAACUUCUGGAAACGGAAGCUAAUACCGGAUGAUGACGUAAGUCCAAAGAUUUAUCGCCCAAGGAUGAGCCCGCGUAGGAUUAGCUAGUUGGUGGGGUAAAGGCCCACCAAGGCGACGAUCCUUAGCUGGUCUGAGAGGAUGAUCAGCCACACUGGGACUGAGACACGGCCCAGACUCCUACGGGAAGCAGCAGUAGGGAAUAUUGGACAAUGGGCGAAAGCCUGAUCCAGCAAUGCCGCGUGAGUGAUGAAGGCCUUAGGGUUGUAAAGCUCUUUUACCCGGGAUGAUAAUGACAGUACCGGGAGAAUAAGCGCCGGCUAACUCCGUG